RNAcentral lists this long non-coding RNA (1922 nucleotides) under Populus trichocarpa (black cottonwood). RNAcentral's name for it is "long non-coding RNA (PTRI_LNC001579)". The record is from RNAcentral. Lineage: Eukaryota; Viridiplantae; Streptophyta; Magnoliopsida; Malpighiales; Salicaceae.
AUGGUUCGGUAUUGCUUGAUGGAUCGGCGAGUGGUCCAAGCGAGCAGGACGCCCCUCCCAACCUGACCUUGAGAGCAAAGGCGUUUGAGAUCAUCGAAGACCUACGCCGGCGCGUGGAAAAGGCUUGCGGCCUUGUCGUCUCCUGUUCUGAUAUUCUUGCGCUUGCAGCCCGUGACUCUGUUUACCUGGUGAGUCGACUUGAAUCACUCUCUGUUAUCGUAGUUUUUGAUAAUGAUCCUAGCUAGCUAGCAUGGAGCACAUGAUUUAAUACCAUCUCCUGUAUCGUUAGAUACACAUCCGUAUAUAGUCCAGCCAUAUUCUUGAGAGUCGAGUCUAAAUCGAGAUUUUUUUUUUGAAAAAUAGCUUUUUUCCAUAUUUUUUUUUGAAAAAGUAGAGUAAUUGAUUUUUUUCCCCAAAAAAUAGCACACUUAAUAAAUUAAUUUGAAAACAAUGUAAUUAAUUAUCUUUCUUUAGGAAAUAUAGGAAUGAGAUUUGGGUUCAUUGAUUUUAAUAAUAUUAUUAAAAAUUAGCCUAGUUAUGGCUCUUGUUAGAUGUCAAGUAACUUAUUUUUAUAACAUAAAAAUAAUAUAUUGAGAAAUUAAACGUUCAGUAUAAAGCUUAGAUUUUUAAAAUAAAAUUGAAUUUUAAUUAUCCAAAUUUAUUAUGGUAUUUCAGGAAUAAGUGUUAAAUAAUUAAUUGCACAUGAAAUAAUUACAAAUAGAAGAUUACGAGUAAGUCAAGUCUUUCUGUCCCCCAUAUAAUAUAUGUCCUGCAACUAGGGGCAUAAAAUGUGACUGAUAAGACCAGAUAAGCUUAUCCAAUGUUAUUUUCAGAGCUUAGAUAUCCGCCUGUCGAUUUCUAUCCAGUUAGUUGAUCAGUGAUUGCGAGAGGCAAAUUAAUUCCUCAUAAUCUUUUAAAAUCCUAUUAAUUCUCGUUUGGUUCUGUAUUUUAAAAACAUUUUUAAAAUUUUUUUUUUUUUUUUAUUUUAAAUUAAUAUUUUUUUAGUAUUUUCCGUUUAUUUUGAUGGAUUGAUGUUAAAAAUAAUUUUUAACAAAUAAAAAUAAUAAUUUUUUAAUACUUUUUUAAGUGAAAAACAAUCAUACUCUCAAACACACUAAAUAUUAUAAUUAGUAGCGAUUGUUUAUUUAAAUAUUUUUUACUUAAAAAUAUAUUAAAAUAAUAUUUUUUUAAAUUUAUUUUGACUUUAAUAUUAAUAUAUUAAAAUAAUCUAAAAAUACUUAAAAAAAAAUACUCUUUCCCAGCAAAAUUAUUAUUAUGACUUUCUUGUGACUUGUCAUGAUCAUUAAACACAUAUAAAGGGUGUGUAUAUGCAUGCCUCCUUGAGUUCUGCUUUUUUAUUUUCAAAUUAAGUUUUAGAUAUUUUUAUGUUGAUAAUAAUUUUUUUAUUCUUUUUUUUUUUAAAAAAACAUUUUGUAUCACAUUCUCCGUGUGUGUGUAAUGAAUCAAUAAAAUUUCUUUCGGUAACAAGUCAUUACUCAUAACCAAAGCUAAUCCUUUUUAACUUCUAUGCAUUUUUUCUACUGCAGUCUGGUGGCCCAGAUUAUAAUGUUCCCUUGGGAAGGCGAGACGGUCUAAAAUUUGCAACUCAAAAUGAAACCUUAGACAACCUCCCGCCACCCUUUGCUAACGCCGACACAAUUCUCUCAUCUCUCGCCACCAAGGGCUUCGAUGCCACCGACGUGGUAGCCCUGUCCGGUGGCCACACCAUUGGUAUAAGUCACUGCAGCUCUUUCACUGACCGCCUCUAUCCAACCCAAGAUCCUACAAUGGACAAAACCUUUGCCAACAAUCUCAAGGAAGUUUGCCCCACAAGAGACUUCAAUAACACAACCGUGUUGGAUAUUCGAUCUCCUAAUAAAUUUGACAACAAGUACUAUGUUGAUCUCAUGAAUCGCCAAGGC